Molecule: long non-coding RNA, 5984 nt
Organism: Nothobranchius furzeri (turquoise killifish)
Lineage: Eukaryota; Metazoa; Chordata; Actinopteri; Cyprinodontiformes; Nothobranchiidae
Source: RefSeq, a predicted model, not a curated record
GACUGUAGUAUUAAACUCCUGAAAAGCAUUUUAUUGAAGUUUUCAAUGACCCACUGUUUUCUAUCACACCACAUCUACCGGUAGAUAUAGGUCUAGCACCACCCUACACCAUGUCAAUCUUGUUCCUUAAGUUUUUUAACAAAUAACAACUUGAAACAAAAAAAUUCUAGCUAAAUAAUGUAAACAAUUUCUGUACAAGUUCUACCAGUUGGCAGCAGAUAAUGACGACAAUGCUCUUGGUUUGUAAGGCCAACGGUUUCUUGACUGAGCAUAACGUUUUAUAUGACAGAUGCAGGUUGGUUUCUGGGGUCAUCAGGUCAAUGUCAAGCCUGUUAAAUUUCUUUGUCUGAAACAAAAUAUCUCUCUGGUAUGAACUGUUGCCCACAUUUUUUAUGAGUGCAAAACCAUCACAUGAGAUUAAAUGAGGUUGCUUAUAAUUUUUUGACUUCCUUUCAGUUUGGUUGUUGUGCAUUAUUCAGCGUCCGAGGUGCUUUGUCUUUUAAAGUCCAAACAAAGUCCUUUGUAACGGCUAACAAAAAACAUUACAAUCGUAGUUUAACUACAAAGACUAAAUGGAUUUUACCAAAAGCUUUAGCAGGAAAAACUCACUCUGAUGGAAUGCAGCAGACUAUUUCACCUGUAAACACAGGAUUUACUGUGAAAUCUGCUGAGAGUGAUGGAGGCUCAGAGAGGAGAGGUUGCACAGGCACACUGUGAAACAAUCAUCUGGUAUUAAUAAGGUAAAGAGAAGUACUUUGGCUAAGCUCAACAGAGAAGAAAACAUAUUGAAUAAGAACCAGACACCCUGAUGACAGCUCUAAAAAAAGGGCUUUAGAUUGGCUGAAAUGAUUCUAAGGACUUUGGCCCCCAUGAGGCCAUAUAGCAAUUACGGUGCCUAUUUCUGCUCCUCUAUACACAACCCAGUCCAAAAUGGGAGUACUGGAAUUAGAUACACCAGAUGAAGAGGGUUACAAGUUGUCUUUGCAUAUUUUCCAGUCCAGAUAAAAAACAUAAUGUUGCAUUGUCCUUCAAUUAUGACCUCAGAGAUUUACAUAACACCAAGCCCAUGAUUAUUCACACCACAGAAGAUGACCUACUCUACGAAGAUUGUACAAAUCAGGAUUUUAUUUUUUCUUCUAUAUUUUAGAAGCUGGAAGGUUUGGGAACUUCUUCAAAUGAAGCCACUUCCUGCCUCUUUUUCCUGUUGGUGCGGGCAACUCCGCACACACACACGCCACACACACACACACACACACACACACACACACACACACACACUGCAAUUAUCUAAGCAUUUUAAACAUAGGGCAUGCUCAGCUGAUGGAGGACAUCAAAGCAAAAGGACAGAGCUCAAGUGACGACCAUACCCGCGGCACACUCAAACAAAAAUGAUAACAAACCCCCAGCUCCUCCAACUGAGAGAGGAGAUGACACAGGCAAACAUGCAGAAGGUGGGGUGUGGGGUUGUGGCCCCACCUCACUUUUGAAGAAAAAAAGAAAGAAAAAAAUGAGAGAGUGAGAGAGAGAGAGAAAAAAAUAAGAGAACGAAAGAAAAUCACAGUCAUAUGGGCGACACUUCCCCCAGCUGAAGUGUAGCUGUAGCUUACUGGUGGGAAAGUCGACGCUAUAUGAAGAUCUCCUCUUCUCGCUAACCUGCUAACCUCGUCUGUCAACUGCUAGUUCAUCAGAGCAGGUAACAGAGAGAGAGCUGGUACAACCCAGGGGAGGGGAGCACUGGUUCAUCUCUAAAGAGGACCUCUGAUUCACCGAUCCACAGCGUCUGGGUUUCACAGGCCGGUUUCAGAAGACAGACAUGCUACAGUAACAGAAACAGCUGCAGCCAGCGGGAGGGAGGUGCGGAGAAACUUGGAGAAGAAGAUGAUCUUGGCAUUGACCUUCAAGGAAACGGACAGAAGCAACUGAUAUGAGACAAAAAAUCUUGUCAUUAAUGCUGUAUUUGUUUUGCUGUGGGGGUUUAAUACUCCAACAAUCAAAUAUUAUUUAAGUUAUUGAAAGAAUCAAAAAUGUGCAAAAGUUAAAAUCACCCUAAAUUUUGUGUAUUUUUUAUUUCAAGCAGCAAGACUAUUUUGUAUUAUUUUAAACUGAUCUCGAUCAAGACUCCAGACAUUCCAGUGGUCUUCCAAUUAAUUUUCUUUGAGCUUUGGCUGAUUUGUUUUGUUUUGUUUAACUCAUUGCUGUUCAUGCACAUAAUUAUGACAGCAUAUUGUUCCAUAAAUAUUUUUGAAAAGAGGGAAAUGUAAAGAAAAGAAGAUCUAGAAGAUUUGUUUUUAUCUUUUUUCGCUGACAAGUUUUGGCUAACGCUGCAGUCUUCCUCAGAGCACCGCCGAUGUCGGUGGUAUUACUUUCUUCUACUACACUGUGUUUAAAAAAUAAUUAAAACAAGGGAAUUUCCUGGUCUGACGGGAAAUCUUGAGCGUUCACACGACUUUGGAGUAAACAAACUUAAGUACAGUGUGUUUCCGGCACCUUCUUUACUGAUUGGCUAAAUGUCGCACUGAACCGUUAGCACGCUUGUUUGUCCUCGGAAAUCAGAUCAAGACAGCCCCGGUUUAUGAUCUGAGCCGUCCUGAUGUCCGUCUGACCAAAGUGCUCUUAACACACCACACAAGGUAGGAUUAUCUGAUAAAAUUAUCUCUAUAACCAUUCUGAUAAUCAGACAGGUCAUUGGGAUUGCGAGCAACAUUAUCCUGCUUUUAAACUGGGCUGAAAAUAAAGAAGUUCAGUUGUUUUUGUUUGAACCUUAAAGAGACUACCGUGCCUGAGAUGAUGAACCGUCACCACAGAACCUGCAGCUGUGUUUGAAACCAAAUGAACCAAAUUUUAUAAACAGUAGGCCUACAUUGGGUCGUGUUUGAUACCCAUGAAUCUUCUCGCAUCUGCGGACCAGUGGUUCACUUCAGAGCAGGUUGAAACCUGACAGGCAGUGAAAAACACCCUGGCAUCUAUGGAUGACAUCACAGCUUUAGUCUAACCUAUUCAAUGACGUAAACACCCAAUCUGUCCCCACCCCAUUUCAUCAAGAUGGAGAUUCCUGUUUUAAGUCAGAGGGGUACAUAUUUAAAAUUAGGCAAAUAAUUGCCUCAUACAGGCCUUUAUAACAUCAGUCGUUAGUCAAUGAGCUGCUUUCUACCUGUGAGGUCAUGCCCUCUGUCUGUCAGUGGGUCUGGGAUACUCCAAACUAAAUGCUUCCAGACUUCAGAGGACUGUCUCUUCUCAUGUUGUCUCACCACAUCUGUUCCUGAUCACCCUCAAACUACAGCGAAAACUCUUCUCUUAAUUUUUUCCGAAACAGCUUUAAAAGAUCCUUAAAAAAUGUCUAGUAACCUAUCCUUCACAAUAAAAUAUUCAUACAAGCUGCAAAGAUUUUCUUUAUGCUUGCCAUCUGAUAGUCCUAAAGGGGAAUUUCAUUCCUGACGCAGAAGCAGUGCUGCGCCCCAGAUAUGUUAAAUCAUCAGAUAACAUCUCGCUGCAUCUGGUUUUCUGCCACCAAAGCCUUCAUGUUUGGAGACAAUCUGUGGUCAAUAGUACGGUUUUGCUUCGUCCCAGAGCCCAAAGGAAACACUAUCUACCAACGCAUGUUUGAGUCAAACCAUAAAAGAGACAUGCUUGUGGGGGCCGGGGUGGACCUCUCAUUCGCUAACUCAGUUGUUCACACCGAGCUGACGUAUGGGCACAAUCAGGAAACGCAACAUGUCACAAACAAGUGACCCUAAGGUGAAAGGUUUGGAGAACGAUCCUGCUCUCAGGUCUGUAGCUGGUGUGCAUGUGGACUUGAUUUAAAACACCAUGAUUACCUUGCUGUAGCUUUACUGCCCCUACGCCCCAUGGGAAACCCAAACGUAAAAGGAAACGGUGUGUUUUUGCUAGCAACAAAACGGCAUAGAUUACUAAACUGGUGCUUUGGUUGACCCCCUGUCUGACGCUGAUGUUUUGUUUUCAUAAAUAUUACUGUUCAGGUUAUAAUAAUUAGUGGUUUUACAUUCCUGGUGCCUUUGCUGUUCGUAAUUCAUGACUUGUGCAAUAAAAGUGAUAAUUUCGUUAUUUUCAGAUGCAAUAAUUAAGGUUUAAUAAAAAUCUUAACAAAAAAUAGAAAUUGAAUAUAAACUAUGACAACUAUUCAGUUUACAAGAAUGGUAUAAUUUGUAAGAUCUUUCAAUUUUUAAAACGAAUUUAUGAAAAUUCUUAUUCUUAUUAUUAUUAUUACUCUUUAUUAACAUGUUUUGCAUUCAUUUACACAAGUUUACUCCAAAACAUGUUUCUUUAUUUCUAAAAGAGCUAGAGCAAAUGUCCUUCUGGUACAUUUGGGUUAGGGUUAAUAUCAAUUCUUAAUAAAUAUGAGGGAUGCAGGACAGAUUUAAAGGUCCUUAUUAAAAACACAUACAUCACACUAACUGAAGGCAUUAACUUGAUUAUCAUGAUUAAUGUUAUCAUGAACACGAACAAAAGGUGUAUUACUUAACAGAUUAAUGACAUACCCAUAAUGUAAGGUAAAUACUCACGUUUAUACAUUUUCCUUUGCAAAAAGUAAGUUUCUAAAUAUAUAAAUGGUAAAUAAUAAAAUAAUAAAUAUAAUAUAAUAUAAUAAAAAUACUUAAAAACACAUAUGAAACAACAUAUGUCAUAUUUACUAGAGCUAUCUAAAAUCAGCAGGCCAUGAAUCAGUAAAAAGCUUUCAUUGAUUGCGUCUGUAAUGUAUUUAUUUAUCUUUAGUCCUUUAUAGUUGUAUGAAGUCGAAGGCUGAAUUCUCAGUUAUUAAAAUAUUAUUCACGGUAGUUUUUACAAUUUAAACUGUGCAUUUAAUAAAAUAGUGUUUAAGCACAUUUUACUAAACAGUCGUUGCUCACAUGCACUACUAGAUUCUAUUACCUGCUGCCAAAAGCAUUACAGAGGGGUCCUUUAUUGCAAUAGUUAACAGAUGUGGCCUCCAGAGCCAAUGUUUGAUUUGUUUGUUUUCUGCAAGAAAAUUAUAAAAUGAAAUGUUAAAAGGAUUAAAAAGGUCUGUGCUGUUGUUACACUGCAAUGUGCCAAUUAGGUUUGUAAAAUACGUCAGAGGGUGGUCCUAAAUCAGCUGCUCAAAGAGAAGUCCACAUCUUUGCGAAGUGGGGUUGCAGAUAGCUAUCUGAACAACCUCAGUUUGGAGAAACAAAGAUUAGCUCUGACCAGACAGAUGAGAGGGUUACAGAAGGGUUGGGUACAGAGUGUUUCGUUUUAUAGCAGUUCUUAUAAAUGUGAAAUGAAUUGAAAAUUUAAUUAUUUACAAAUGUACUUAGUCCACACACCUCUGGACAAAAUGUCAUAAUAACUGUAAUAACUAAUAAAGAACAGGAAAAGUUAAAUCACGACAAAAUAAAAGUUAGAACAUACAAUUGGCAAAAACUGAAGAGACACUUUCGAACCUGUUUGUUUAAAUAUUUUAAACCCAGACUGUUGGUUCGUCUAUGUUUCUCCAAACUGAAGCCAUUCGAAGGGCAGUCUACAACAGUUAAGGUGCCCAGUGUACAAAAUCACAAAUCGUGUGCUGCUGGUGGUGGUCGGAGGGGCCGGUGGCACCAGCGCAUGGUAAGCCUUGCCUCUGUCAGUGCACCCCAGGGAAGCUGUGGCUACACUGUAGCUCAUCAUCACCAGCGUGUGAAUGUGUGUGUGUGAAUGAGUGAAUCACUGAUUUUGUUAUGAAGCACCUUGGGGGGUUGUAGAACCCUAAGAAGGCGCUAUACAAAUACAGAACAUUCACAGUGUGAACUAUCCCUUUAAGAUGGAAUUAGUCAAAUUACUUGGCCAGAAGAUGGAUGAGAGAUGCGUAAAUCAAGCCAUGAAUGCAGAACCGGUCCUACAGAAGCACCCAACCGCUAAAAACAUGACUGAAAUGAGCUAAGUGUAAAAAUGUACCACAACAUCAGAGAUUAUUGCAUGUGCCAAAAAAACUGUUACUCUGUCAACAAAAUAAACUAUAUUCCACCAUUUUC